UACGUAGGGGGCUAGCGUUGUCCGGAAUCAUUGGGCGUAAAGAGCGUGUAGGCGGCCCGGUAAGUCCGCUGUGAAAGUCGGGGGCUCAACCCUCGAAAGCCGGUGGAUACUGUCGGGCUAGAGUGCGGAAGAGGCGAGUGGAAUUCCUGGUGUAGCGGUGAAAUGCGCAGAUAUCAGGAGGAGCACCGAUUGCGAAGGCAGCUCGCUGGGACGUAACUGACGCUGAGACGCGAAAGCGUGGGGAGCAAACAGG
RNAcentral lists this ribosomal RNA (253 nucleotides) under uncultured bacterium. Its description in RNAcentral is "partial 16S ribosomal RNA". It matches the Rfam family "Bacterial small subunit ribosomal RNA", at positions 524 to 776 of the family's 1533-position model. The record is from RNAcentral.